Molecule: ribosomal RNA, 579 nt
Filed under: Triticum aestivum (bread wheat)
Lineage: Eukaryota; Viridiplantae; Streptophyta; Magnoliopsida; Poales; Poaceae
Description: partial small subunit ribosomal RNA
Source: RNAcentral
AUGAGCCAUUACCCUAUCGGGAAAACAGGGUGUAUGCGUCGCACAACGGGUAUGGGUGGUAUCGACGGCGUGACAUACAUCAUGAUUACCUACGUCGCCAUAUUUGGAGUAGGGGUCACCAAGUGUUCGUACAGAAGCCCAACAGGAAAACCCGAGGCCCACCGAGCUGAACGGGGCCCCGACGGCCGGCCGUCGCUUGACCUGAUCCCGGACUUGAUUGAUUAUUACUCCCGGAAAGAGAUUUUGAGUCUGCCCCUCGGGUUCGUCUCCAGCCGCGACCACUUGGUCAUAGCGGCUCUGAGCUACGGGCCGACGGACUUGCAGUACUAUCUCCACACCCUCAGCUCCGAGCCGCGGUCCACCUGGUCCAAGAAGCUGCUGCAGGUGGAGCUCCCCCAUGGAUUAUCCAAGAAACCGUUUGUGAUCGAUCACAGCAAGGUGAUUGCCCUUGGAGGCGGGCUGCUGGGAUGGGUCGAUCUCUGGGAGGGCAUCCUGAUCUGCGACGUGCUUGACCCUGGGACGGCCCCGUUGCGCUUGGUGCCGAUGCCCAAGCUGCUGCCCAGCAACAGACAACUCUGA